RNAcentral lists this ribosomal RNA (484 nucleotides) under uncultured bacterium. RNAcentral describes it as "partial 16S ribosomal RNA". It matches the Rfam family "Bacterial small subunit ribosomal RNA", at positions 28 to 523 of the family's 1533-position model. The record is from RNAcentral.
GACGAACGCUGGCGGCGUGCUUAACACAUGCAAGUCGAACGAUGAAGCCGGAGCUUGCUCUGGUGAAUUAGUGGCGAACGGGUGAGUAACACGUGAGUAACCUGCCCUUGACUCUGGGAUAACUGCGGGAAACUGUAGCUAAUACCGGAUACGACCCUCGGAGGCAUCUCCUGGGGGUGGCAAGAAUUUCGGUCAAGGAUGGACUCGCGGCCUAUCAGCUAGUUGGUGAGGUAAAGGCUCACCAAGGCGACGACGGGUAGCCGGCCUGAGAGGGUGACCGGCCACACUGGGACUGAGACACGGCCCAGACUCCUACGGGAGGCAGCAGUGGGGAAUAUUGCACAAUGGGCGCAAGCCUGAUGCAGCAACGCCGCGUGAGGGAUGACGGCCUUCGGGUUGUAAACCUCUUUUAGCAGGGAAGAAGCGAAAGUGACGGUACCUGCAGAAAAAGCACCGGCUAACUACGUGCCAGCCGCCGCGAAAC